Aegilops tauschii subsp. strangulata is the source of this 647-nucleotide long non-coding RNA. RefSeq lists it as uncharacterized. The record is from RefSeq and is a predicted model, not a curated record. Lineage: Eukaryota; Viridiplantae; Streptophyta; Magnoliopsida; Poales; Poaceae.
CUUAUUCUUAGUCGAUAUUCAUCCACUUACGGCGGCGACGAGCCACACAAUUCUCUUCCUUCCCCCGUAGAAGCCCCUAGAUGCAUCAUCAAGGGUAGACCCACUCGUCCUUCUUGCGGAAGCCCCAUUCCUACCAUCUCAUCCACCUGAUGUUCCGCUAUCAGCAGUUACCACCGCAUAAUUUACGCCUUUUCCCCUCGCCAUCUCGCCAUGCCCUCUCUACCUUGUUUUCUCAUAGAGGAGAUACCUCCAGGGCUUUGAUAUAUCACCGUUCACCAUCCGCCGUCCUCACACACAGAUCUAAGUUUCGGCGAGGUCACGAGCAUGCGAAAAGGUUAGUCCACCUCCCCCGUAGAUCUAGGGUUCCGAUAUAUGUUGGAGGUGUAUGUGGCUAGUGCAAAUCCACACCUAGAUCCAAAGAGCUUGAGUCGACAUAUAGCAGGCGACCCACUCAUCCUUCCCAGAUCUGGCAACCAUCGAGUUUUUUCGGCGAUUCGAUGUUGUAGGGGAACGGGGAAGGACCUGCGCAAAAAAGGCAUCUGGAGUACUAUGGUUUAUGUGUGCCUAUGAUUUGAGUUUAAGGAUCCGCUAUUAGCUAAUGGAGGAUGUGCACACCUGAUAUUAUACAUUUUUGACAUCUUCAUUCA